This 622-nucleotide ribosomal RNA is filed under the name uncultured bacterium. Its description in RNAcentral is "bacterial SSU rRNA". It matches the Rfam family "Bacterial small subunit ribosomal RNA", at positions 202 to 842 of the family's 1533-position model. The record is from RNAcentral.
GAAAGGAAAUAUUCGGUAAAAGAUGGGCCCGCAUCUGAUUAGCUAGUUGGUGAGAUAACAGCCCACCAAGGCGACGAUCAGUAGCCGACCUGAGAGGGUGACCGGCCACAUUGGGACUGAGACACGGCCCAAACUCCUACGGGAGGCAGCAGUGGGGAAUAUUGCACAAUGGGGGGAACCCUGAUGCAGCAACGCCGCGUGAAGGAAGACGGUUUUCGGAUUGUAAACUUCUAUCAAUAGGGAAGAAAGAAAUGACGGUACCUAAAUAAGAAGCCCCGGCUAACUACGUGCCAGCAGCCGCGGUAAUACGUAGGGGGCAAGCGUUAUCCGGAAUUACUGGGUGUAAAGGGAGAGUAGGCGGCAAGGUAAGCGAUAUGUGAAAGCCUUAGGCUUAACCUGAGGAUUGCAUAACGAACUAUCUAGCUAGAGUACAGGAGAGGAAGGCGGAAUUCCUAGUGUAGCGGUGAAAUGCGUAGAUAUUAGGAAGAACACCAGUGGCGAAGGCGGCUUUCUGGACUGAAACUGACGCUGAGGCUCGAAAGCGUGGGGAGCGAACAGGAUUAGAUACCCUGGUAGUCCACGCUGUAAACGAUGAGUGCUAGGUGUCGGGGAGGAAUCCUCG